CAGUAACGGCGAGUGAAGCGGCAACAGCUCAAAUUUGAAAUCUGGCUCCUUCGGGGUCCGAAUUGUAAUUUGUAGAGAGUGCUUCGGGCGAGACCUCGGUCUAAGUCCAUUGGAACAUGGUGUCAUAGAGGGUGAGAAUCCCGUAUGCGACCGUGGCUCGAGCCCAUGUGAAGCCUCUUCGACGAGUCGAGUUGUUUGGGAAUGCAGCUCAAAACGGGUGGUAAAUUUCAUCUAAAGCUAAAUACUGGCUGGAGACCGAUAGCGCACAAGUAGAGUGAUCGAAAGAUGAAAAGCACUUUGGAAAGAGAGUCAAACAGUACGUGAAAUUGUUGAAAGGGAAGCGCUUGCAACCAGACCUGCCCGUAGGCGAUCAGCCGCUGUUCUCAGCGGUGCACUCGCUCUGCGAUCAGGCCAGCAUCGGUUUCGGCGGUCGGAUAAAGGCCUUGGGAAUGUAGCUUCCCUUCGGGGGAGUCUUAUAGCCCUCGGUGCAAUGCGGCCAGCCGGGACCGAGGACCGCGCUUCGGCUAGGAUGCUGGCGUAAUGGUUGUAAGCGACCCGUCUUGAAACACGGACCAAGGAGUCUAACAUCUAUGCGAGUGUUUGGGUGUCAAACCCAUACGCGGAAUGAAAGUGAACGGAGGUGAGAACCCUUAAGGGCGCAUCAUCGACCGAUCCAGAUGUCCUCGGAUGGAUUUGAGUAUGAGCAUAGCUGUUGGGACCCGAAAGAUGGUGAACUAUGCCUGAAUAGGGUGAAGCCAGAGGAAACUCUGGUGGAGGCUCGCAGCGGUUCUGACGUGCAAAUCGAUCGUCAAAUUUGGGUAUAGGGGCGAAAGACUAAUC
RNAcentral lists this ribosomal RNA (840 nucleotides) under Xanthoparmelia plittii. Its description in RNAcentral is "eukaryotic LSU rRNA". It matches the Rfam family "Eukaryotic large subunit ribosomal RNA", at positions 81 to 936 of the family's 3401-position model. The record is from RNAcentral. Lineage: Eukaryota; Fungi; Ascomycota; Lecanoromycetes; Lecanorales; Parmeliaceae.